This 253-nucleotide ribosomal RNA is filed under the name uncultured bacterium. Its description in RNAcentral is "partial 16S ribosomal RNA". It matches the Rfam family "Bacterial small subunit ribosomal RNA", at positions 524 to 776 of the family's 1533-position model. The record is from RNAcentral.
UACGGGGGGGGCAAGCGUUGUUCGGAAUUACUGGGCGUAAAGGGCGAGUAGGCGGCCUUCUAAGUCAGACGUGAAAUCCCCCGGCUUAACCUGGGAACUGCGUCUGAUACUGGGAGGCUCGAGUAUGGGAGAGGGAUGUAGAAUUCCAGGUGUAGCGGUGAAAUGCGUAGAUAUCUGGAGGAACACCGGUGGCGAAGGCGGCAUCCUGGACCGGUAUUGACGCUGAGGAGCGAAAGCCAGGGGAGCAAACGGG